CUUCAGAAUAGUAGUGACUUAACUCAAAAAUCUAAGAAAUUGAGUUACGGUCAUAGAGGGUCACUAAAAGGUACGCACUUUUAGGUGAAUAAUAAAGAAGCGGCGUUUUUAUGUUAGAAUAAAGAUUACGAUACUUCGGUCUCUUUCGCACUGCCUACCUCUACCCGCGCCGCUCGGAUCGGUAGCGACGCAAUCAGUGAUGCAUCAAACAAGUCGUCGCAAGUUUAUUAGUGAACUGACCUAAAACGUAAUAAGUCACUUGUGUACUGAACAAACGGAUAAGAAUAAAAAUGAAGAGAAGAGCAGACUUAAUAUUUGAGAAAUUACAAAUAAAUGAGCAACAAGAGGUGGACGUAGUACCAUGCAAUUACAAAAAUGUAAGUUGGCCCUUGGACCAAAUGCGGAAAUCUAGUGACGCGGCUUGUAAUUUUAUAUACCUAUUCCUUGUUUCUAUUUAUUAGAUAUUGUUUUUACGGAAAUGCAUCACAGUAAGUAGGAUAUGAAAUGUUUAUGUUUUUGUGCUUUAUCGUUACAGGAUAAAAUUAAUAAAGAGAACAUUCCUCAUUCUAUUGAGCAAAGAAAACGAAAGUUGACUUAGGUAACUAAAUGUUAAUGUGUUUUCCUAAUUUUUUAUUUUUCCCAUAACUUUCUUUUUAGUUUUAUAACUAAGUAGGUACGGUAAGUAGGUACACCCAGCUUUAAGAAGGUUAAUAGUGGUUAUGAUGUUUACAGAAUGAGUAUGAAAGCGAUACCUCUCGGCCAUCUAGUCCAUCAAUAAUAGAAGGCACACCUGAAAAAAGAGUGCUGUUAUCAAAUCAUGCACACGAACUUUGCGAUGGCAAAAGAAACAUACCUAGGGUUGGUCUCUCAUUACGUAAAUCAUUAUUUAAUGCCAUGAAAUAAAUUGCAUACUCAAUUAUUUGAUAAUCUACGAAAACGUCUACGAAAUCCCAACAAUUGGAAACAAAUUGUUGCAAAAACUUUGUGAAAUACUGGGAAAGAAUAUGUUUCUAACACUAAAUCUAUAAAAAUUGUUCCUGCUCGUUCAAUAAAAGAUCCAUGUACCAGCAAAUGUAGAGUCAAAUGUGUCGAUAACAUAAAUGAGAUCGAUAGAAAUCUAUUAUUUAAAAAAUAUUGGGCACUAGGAAACGUAGAAUAACAGAGAUCUUUUGUUAGAAAUUCAUGAUAGAAGUAAAACCAAAAUAUAAAUACACAAAUGCAGCUAGACCAAGACAGUCUAAUAAUGCAUUUUAUUUUACAGUUAAUGAUACUAAAAUUAGAGUUUGCAAAACUUUUUUUAUAAACACGUUAGGUAUAUGUGACAGGCAAAUAAGAACUGUUAAAAAGAAGACAGAUGCGCAAGGUUUCAUAGAGAAAGAUAACCGAGGUAAAAACCAGAAUAGAAAAAGGACAGAACCAGCAAUCCUACAAGAUAUUAUAAAGAACCACAUUAAUUGGAUACCAAGGAUUCAAUCGCAUUAUUUAAGGUCUUCAACUUCUCGCGAAUAUAUAGGUGGAGAGAAAACAAUAAUGGAUCUUUGGAGAGAUUUUGAUAAAGAUCAACGCGACGCAGGAAAAGCUACAUUUGAAUAUUGGUUAUAAUAUUAGGACAUUUUCACAAAAGAGUUUAAUAUUGAAUUUUUCCAACCCAAGAAAGACAGAUGCGACCUAUAUUUUGAAUAUGAACUAGUUUCUCCAGAAAAAAAACUACAACUAAAAGAAAAAUAUGAUCGUCAUUUAAAAGAAAAAGAUUUAUCCCGAAAAGAGAAACAUAAUUAUCGACUCAACAUUGAUGAAACCCAUAUUUGUGCAGUGUUCGACCUGCAAGCAGUAAUGCAAUGUCCUAGCGGUAUUACAAAACAAAACUGAAUUGCCUCAACUUUACAAUCGUGGAAUUACUAAAGAAAAGAGACAACAAUUUGGAGGAAUAUACAGAAAGUGUACACAAACGUGAUAUUGGAGCUUAUGGAGACGUCUACAGUUUUUUCUGGAACGAAACUCAGGGGAAACGCGGAUCUAGCGAGAUCGGAUCGUGUGUUCUUAAUUAUUUGGAGAUUUUAAAUGCAAGACAUCAGGGUCAGGCCAUCACGUUACGUUUUAUUCCGACAAUUGCUGCGGACAAAUAAAAAUAAAUAUGUAGCUUGCUUAUAUUCCUACGCAGUAUCACAUUUUGAGAACAUCCAGUCUAUAACCCAAAAGUACCUAAUAAAGGGUCAUACCUAAAAUGAAGGGGUCAACGUCCACAGCCUCACUGAAAUGGAAAUCCAACGGAAUAAAAAGGCUGGACCCAUAUACGCACCUUGUCAAUACGUCACUUUAAUAAAAAAAUCGCGAAAAAAACGAAAAACCGUUGAUUGUUCAAGAAUUAACGUAUGAUUUUUUUUGGGACUUAAAGAUGUUUCAAGAGAAAUGCUUAGAAAGGCUUAUAACUUUAGUGAAAAUGAAAAUAAAGCCAAUGUGACUUGGAAUGAUGUAAAAAUUCUUAAAUUUACUAAAGAUGAUACGUUUACGUUUUACUAUAAGACAUCUUAUAGUCAAAAUGAGUUCAACAAGGUAAAUAUGAGAAACAAAAGGAAGAAGAUGAGUGAUAUAAGAGAAAUUGCUAUGAACAAAGCAUACUCCCAAAGAUUGGUGUUAUCUGAGAGGAAAAAAAACUGUCUUACGUUCCUUGAUUGAACAUAAUCUGAUAGAAAAAAUAUAGAAAUUAUGCUGAUUUUUAUAAUAACAUUAUUUAAUAAUUAUUUUUAUAAGUAUAACAGGCUCUUCUGCUAUAGG
Pieris napi is the source of this 2775-nucleotide long non-coding RNA. RefSeq lists it as uncharacterized. The record is from RefSeq and is a predicted model, not a curated record. The transcript has 3 exons. NCBI's taxonomy places the organism in Eukaryota, Metazoa, Arthropoda, Insecta, Lepidoptera, Pieridae.